AUAAAGAGUCUUGCCUGCCCGGUGAUAGUUUUAACGGCCGCGGAAUUUUAACCGUGCAAAGGUAGCAUAAUAAUUUGCCCUAUAAUUGAGGGCUAGAAUGAAUGGUUUGACAAGAAUAUAGCUGUCUCUAUAUAAUUUCAUAAAAUUUGAUUUUUAGGUGAAGAAGCCUAAAUAAAAAAGAAAGACGAGAAGACCCUGUCGAGCUUUAAAUCCUUAUAUAAACGAUAAAAAUUAAAUAUUUAUAUAUUAAUGGAUUAUAUAUUAUUUUAGUUGGGGCGACUAAGGAACACCAGAAGCUUCCUGUAAUACUUAAUAAUCUACAAAUAAUGACCCAAACAUAGUUUUGAUUAGAAGAAUUAGUUACCGCAGGGAUAACAGCAUUAUCUUUUUUAAGAGUUCAUAUCGAAAAAAAGGAUUGUGACCUCGAUGUUGGAUCAAAAUAUCCUAAAGGUGCAGUAGCCUUUAAUAGUUGGUCUGUUCGACCAUUAAUAUUUUA
RNAcentral lists this ribosomal RNA (496 nucleotides) under Pachybathron sp. MNHN-IM-2013-60765. RNAcentral's name for it is "partial 16S ribosomal RNA". It matches the Rfam family "Bacterial large subunit ribosomal RNA", at positions 1845 to 2598 of the family's 2925-position model. The record is from RNAcentral. Lineage: Eukaryota; Metazoa; Mollusca; Gastropoda; Neogastropoda; Cystiscidae.